Bacillus cereus Rock4-18 is the source of this 71-nucleotide non-coding RNA. The record is from Rfam. NCBI's taxonomy places the organism in Bacteria, Bacillati, Bacillota, Bacilli, Caryophanales, Bacillaceae.
GGCGGCAUAGCCAAGUGGUAAGGCACAGGUCUGCAAAACCUGUAUCAUCGGUUCAAAUCCGAUUGUCGCCU